UGGUUAAAAAGCUCGUAGUUGGAUCUCGGCGGUCUGAGGGCGGUUCGCUUGAUUGAGUGCUACUGCUCUAUAGGCCGUGGUUUUGCCAGAGGUCUCGGGGUGCUCUUAACCGAGUGUCCUGCGAUGCUGGCAGGUUUACUUUGAAAAAAUUAGAGUGCUCAAAGCAGGCUUUUACGCCUGAAUAUUCGUGCAUGGAAUAAUAGAAUAGGAAGUCGUUUCUAUUUUGUUGGUUUUCGGAAAUCGACUUAAUGAUUAAUAGGGACAGUCGGGGGCAUUUGUAUUCAAACGACAGAGGUGAAAUUCUUGGACCGUUUGAAGACAAACUACUGCGAAAGCAUUUGCCAAGAAUGUUUUCAUUAAUCAAGAACGAAAGUUAGAGGUUCGAAGGCGAUUAGAUACCGCCCUAGUUCUAACCAUAAACGAUGCCAGCUAGCGAUCUGCCGACGUUUUCUUUGUAGACUCGGCGGGAAGCUUCCGGGAAACCAAAGCAUUUGGGUUCCAGGGGAAGUAUGGUUGCAAAGCUGAAACUUAAAGGAAUUGACGGAAGGGCACCACCAGGAGUGGAGCCUGUGGCUUAAUUUGACUCAACACGGGAAAUCUCACCAGGCCCGGGACACUGGAAGGAUUGACAGAUUGAUAGCU
RNAcentral lists this ribosomal RNA (642 nucleotides) under uncultured marine eukaryote. RNAcentral describes it as "SSU rRNA". It matches the Rfam family "Eukaryotic small subunit ribosomal RNA", at positions 616 to 1256 of the family's 1831-position model. The record is from RNAcentral.